This is a long non-coding RNA of Lolium rigidum, 491 nucleotides long. RefSeq lists it as uncharacterized. The transcript is spliced from 3 exons. The record is from RefSeq and is a predicted model, not a curated record. Lineage: Eukaryota; Viridiplantae; Streptophyta; Magnoliopsida; Poales; Poaceae.
CUCCAGCUCCUGUACGAGAAGGAAACGGAGAACCAUUACGCAAAAAUCUCAAUGAUUUUGUUGGCGUUUGCCACGGAAUUUUCGACCUAUAAAUACCCCCAAACCUCCUCCGUUUUUGCUCCCCGAAAUCCCCAAUUUUUGCGCCGCCAGGCUGCGCGAAUUUCUCGCCGGAGUUCGACGCCGCCGCCGCCAUUGGAGCUCAGAACCGGAGGGCACUAGGACGCGAAGAAAACAUCGCCGGAGUUCGUCGCUGCUCGAGACGCUUCAACCGUCCGUCAUCACUGUUCGAGGAAGACCCAAACACCUCCUAGCACACCACCCUAACAGCCACGCCCAGCCGCGUCUCGUUCAUCAACUCGCCGCCCCAGAAGACUGUCGGAACGCCGUCGCCGUACGAACUCUCGCCGCUGCUAUAGUCUACUUUGUCCCCGACGUGAUUGCCCGGAUUGCAACGAGUGUGAUUGCGACGACUGUCUGAACACCGACCAAGG